GGAACCGAGAGAGGAAAGGAGGAAUCAGCGGCUGAUUCCAGUCAAAGGGAGAGAGAGGCGAGAUUGUUCGGUCAAAGGGAGGAAAUAUUAGGUAUAGGGUUUGAUGAAUAUCCAUCAAACCCUCCCAUUUUUGCCUUCUCUCAAUUUCAGUCCCCUAUUUUUCGAAAAUUGCAAAAGAAACCCCAUUUUUUUGAGUCUAGUCCCUCAAGUUUAGGGAAAUCCCAGAAUGAACCCCAUGUUAUUCAAAACAGCCCCACAGUUAUGCAAAAGUCUAAUUUUGACCCUAAACUUUGUGAAAAUUCGAAAAAAACCCCUACUGCAUGUCAAGUCUCAAAUAAACAAAUCAGUAGGAACAAAAAUUGGAUUUUUGAUUGUGGGGCUACAGACACUAUGACUUUUGAUAAAUCAGAUAUACUUGAGUCAUCAAAAUCCUUUAGAACUCAUGUGCAAACUGCUAAUGGUGACUUAACUCAAGUAGAAGGGGCCGGAAAUAUAGAAAUUACCCCAACCUUGCGAUUAUCCAAUUGUCUAUAUGUUCCGUCCCUAUCUCAUAAGUUGUUGUCAAUUAGUCAUGUUACCAAAGAACUCAAUUGUACCAUGCUAAUGCAUCCUCACUUCUGUUUUCUUCAGGAUAUCAGGACGGGGGAGAUUAUUGGGCGUGGCACUGAGAAAAAUGGACUGUACUAUGUGGAUGAGAUUGCUCAAAAAGGCAAUGUGAUGCUGGCUCACGGAACUGCAAACCGGGAAGCUUGGCUUUGGCAUCGUCGGUUAGGACAUCCUUCCACGGGAUACCUUAAACUUUUAUUUCCAAAAUUACUCCAAAGUGAUACUCUUUCUUGUGAGACUUGUAUCUUAGCUAAAAGCCAUAGACAAUCUUUCAAAUCAAAUGAUACACAAGUGAACUCUAUGUUUUCUUUAGUUCAUUCUGACGUUUGGGGUCCUUCGCCCGUGAUAGGGGGACAAGGUUUUAAAUAUUUUUUGUUAUUUAUUGAUGAUUGCACUAGGAUGACAUGGGUAUAUUUUUUAAAACACAAAUCUGAAGUUUUUGAAAAAUUUACUCAUUUCCAUACUAUGGCUCAAACUCAGUUUCAGAAAAACAUACAAACCCUUAGAACCGACAAUGGGGGGGAAUUUGUUAAUAAUUCCAUGAAAAUAUUUUGUCAAACAAAAGGGAUUAUUCAUCAAACUACUUGCCCCCACACUCCUGAACAAAACGGAGUUGCCGAAAGAAAAAACCGAAUUUUACUUGAAAUGACUCGUUCUAUGAUGAUUGAGUCUCAUGUUCCCUCCUCGUUUUGGCCCGAGGCUGUGGCAACCUCGGUUUACCUUGUCAACCGUCUCCCUACUAGGACUCUUAAACUUAAAACCCCAUUACAGAAAUUGUCUACCCUGGCUUCCAUACCUAUUGCCCUUACACUUCAACCACGGGUCUUUGGGUGCUCUGUUUUCGUUCACAUUCCUAAACAUGAACGCACCAAACUCUCUCCUUGUGCAGUCAAGUGUGUGUUUGUAGGAUAUGGGGUUAAUCAAAAAGGAUAUAGGUGUUACAAUUCCAAAACCCGUCAAAUUAUCACCACCAUGAACUGUGAUUUCCUUGAAACUGAGUAUUUUUACAAUAACCACCUUACCAGUCAGGGGGAGAGUGAGAGUGAGAUUGACUUGUUAAGUUGGUUACCAAUGCCAAACAGCCCGGAAGCAGAUCCAACAGAAAAAGUUAACCUUGCCACAGAGCAAACUCCAUCCACUACUGUACAAAGUCCGCCUCCUCAGCCAAUAUCUCCUCCGCCGCUGGUAUCUGAGGUAAACACCCCUGAACUUACCACUGAGAUUUAUGGUUUCACUGAUCAUAUGUCUCAAGAUGUUGAAAGGAAUCAGGGAGAGAAUCAAUGCCUUGUUGAAAGGGAUCAUGAGGAGAAUACAGCAAAUGAAGGUACAAAGGGAUAUGUUCUACCACCCAGGAGUACUCGGGGUAUCCCUCCCAAACGGUAUACCCCGGAAAAGUUUGGGAAGAAUUCUCGGUACGCAAUUGGGAAUGUAGCAAAAGGAAACAUAUCCAAAACCGCCGCAGCUUAUGAGGCGGCCCUGUAUGAUGAAGAAAUACCACAAACAGCAGAACAGGCUCUGAAAAGUGAACACUGGAGAGAUGCCAUGAAGAAAGAAAUAAGUGCACUGAAUCGAAACCAUACAUGGGAGAAGUGUAGACUACCAAAAGGGAAGAAAACUGUAGGAUGCAGAUGGGUCUUCACAAUCAAAAGGAGACCGGAUGGAUCUAUUGAGCGUUACAAAGCUCGAUUGGUCGCAAAAGGAUACACACAGAUGUAUGGAAUCGACUAUGAGGAGACCUUCUCACCUGUUGCAAAGAUGAACACUGUCAGAGUGCUCCUCUCAAUUGCUGCUAAUAAGGACUGGGAUCUUCAUCAGUUCGAUGUUACAAAUGCUUUCCUACAUGGAGAGCUUGAAGAAGAGAGAGAAGUCUACAUGGAGGUGCCUCAAGGCUUUUCAGGAGAUUUUGGAGAGGGUGAAGUUUGCAAGUUGAAGAAAACCUUAUAUGGGCUCAAGCAGUCUCCCAGAGCUUGGUUUGGAAGAUUCACCGCAGCCAUGAAGAAGUUUGGGUACCAGCAAAGCAACUCAGAUCACACCUUAUUCUUAAAGAAACGAGGUGAUCUAAUCUCUUGUUUGGUCAUUUAUGUUGAUGACAUGAUUAUAACAGGGGAUGACACAGAGGAGAUUCAAAAGUUGAAAGAAAGCUUGUUCAAAGAGUUCGAAAUGAAGGACUUAGGAAAACUAAAAUACUUCCUCGGAAUUGAAGUUCUCAGAUCAAAGAAGGGGAUCUUCAUCAACCAGAAGAAGUAUACUCUAGAUCUCCUAGCUGAAACUGGGAUGCUAGAUUGCAAGCCAGCAGAAACUCCUAUUAUCGUAAAUCAUGGGCUACAAAUUGUGGAAGGAGCUCAGUUAGCCGAUCGAGGACAAUAUCAGCGUCUGGUAGGGAAACUUAUCUAUCUUUCCCAUACUCGACCUGACAUUGCUUAUGCUGUUGGUGUUGUUAGUCAAUUCAUGCACCAACCACAGGCUGACCACAUGGAAGCUGCGCUCAGAAUUGUAAGAUACUUGAAGAAGACUUUUGACUAUGGAAUAUUGUUCAAAAAGAUUGGACACCUUGAGAUACAAGCUUACACCGAUGCUGACUGGGCAGGAAAUCCGAAUGACAGAAAGUCAACAGCUGGAUACUUUGCAUCUGUGGGAGGAAAUCUUGUCUCAUGGAGAAGCAAGAAACAAAAGGUGGUUGCACUCUCAAGUGCAGAAUCAGAAUUCAGAGGAAUCAAGAGUGGGUUAACCGAAGUCCUUUGGCUAAGAAGAUUGUUGAUGGAAUUAGGCCUUCACCCAACAAAGACGUGCCAAAUGUACUGCGACAACAAGGCUGCCAUCAGCAUAUCUGAGAACCCAGUUCAACAUGAUAGAACUAAACAUGUCGAAGUGGAUAGGCACUUUAUCAAGGAAAAGAUUGAGGAAAAGAUUGUGGAGCUCCCGUUUGUGAGGUCCGAAGAUCAGCUCGCUGAUAUCCUAACCAAAGCUGUAGACUUCAAAAGUUUUUCAGAAGUUCUUUCCAAGUUGAGUAUCGGAAAUCCCGUCACUCAACUUGAGGGGGAGUGUUGAGAAUAAAAAGUUAGAAAGGCAGUAUAGUUAGUCAGAAGAAAGCAGUAGCCAACUUUAGUCAAAAAUGAUCAAGAAUCCUUAAUUGUAGGGAUCCUCAUGAUGUUGUAGGGAUCCUCAUGAUGUUGUAGAAGUAAUAUUGAAUAUCAGCUCCCUUCUUAAUACUAUAAAAGGGAUGAUUGUAUCAGCAGGAAACAACAAGAAAUACAAGAACAAUAUUACAAGAAACAAAUUCUCUCUUCUAUGAUGAUAACAUGUUUUUUAACAAGUGAAAUACUUUGUUUUUGUAUAACAUUAAACAAUGUCAUUUUCUUCUUCUUUCAUGUUAUGUUGCGAGCAAAAAGGGUUCAAAGAGCGUAAUUUUAGAGAAAGAAAACAUCAUCGUUUUUAUGUUAUAUUAUACGCACAUUUCAGUUGUCUGCACAUUUUCAGUNAGACCUUCUCACCUGUUGCAAAGAUGAACACUGUCAGAGUGCUCCUCUCAAUUGCUGCUAAUAAGGACUGGGAUCUUCAUCAGUUCGAUGUUACAAAU
Molecule: long non-coding RNA, 4183 nt
Filed under: Salvia miltiorrhiza (redroot sage)
Lineage: Eukaryota; Viridiplantae; Streptophyta; Magnoliopsida; Lamiales; Lamiaceae
Description: long non-coding RNA (SMIL_LNC005014)
Source: RNAcentral